GCCACCAUAGACGUCUGCAGAGCCCAGCUUAGAAAACUGACGCCAUCCCUCUCGUCACCAAAACGACUUCAUCUUCUCAACGAAAUUCCCACCUUACGAGUAUCCAAGAACCAAAACCAACCAAUCCUCUUCUAGUCUCCCUCUCUCUCUCUUCUCUCUUUCUUUCUCGGGACUUUCUCUCCCUAACAGUGUCUGAAAGCGAAAAUUGAAGCUUCCGGUGUCUCGUCUUUCUCUUGUUUUCUGUUCUUAUCUUUCUUUUCGCCAUAUCUUCGGUGAAUUUAGGAAGUUUCUCCUUCUGAUUUGGGGUUUUGAGUUUUUUCUUCGUCAGAUAAAUCUUUUGGUCUUGUGGUCUUUCAAGUAUUUGAGUAGAUCUACUUCAGAACUUGCGGAGAUUUUUGUUUAGAACUUAAGUUCAAUUAUGAAUUUCGUGGGAUUGAAUAAGUGGUGUUUCUGUUUCUUGUAAAAUACAGAAAUCAAAAGAUCGGGACCAGAAGUGCAUUCCAACCUGUCAGAGUCAAAGUUUUGAUAGAACUUGUCAUUUUGAUAGCAUUCCAACAGGGGGAGUUGUAUUAUGUGUCUCAAUUUCGUGUUUAUUGAACUUGUUUUUCGUGUUUCCAUGAAUCCCGGAUGAUAUUUUUCUGUGCAAUUCAGUUUUUCUGGUAGUUUCCUUUUUUCUGGGCUGUGAAUAAUAAGGGUUUGUAUGUGUGUGGAUGUGUGUAUAGGCAUAUAUUGAUAGAGUAUUUUGCACUUUGUCUUGAUGGCUUACUCAACUGAACCAUCGUCGUCUUUGAGUUUCACUUCAUCUUCCAAUUUAUCGAAUGGCACAUUUGGGCAAGCUAAAUCACCCUCCUCUGGCGAGUCAGGCCUUGAACAGGGUCCUAGCCUCGAUAUCAUUAGCUUAAACAAGCUCAGUUCUAAUUUGGAGCAGCUCGUGAUCGAUCCAAGUUGUGAUUAUAGCGAUGCGGAUAUCGUUGUUGAGGGAAUUGCAGUUGGUGUUAACCGAUGUAUUUUGGCUGCUAGAAGUAGGUUUUUCCAUGAGCUUUUUCAGCGAGAUAGGGGAUCUGCUGAGAAGGAAGGAAAACCAAAAUAUUUGAUGAGUGAUUUGUUGCCUUUUGGCGAGGUUGGACGUGAGGCAUUUUGGGUUUUCUUGAGCUAUUUGUAUACGGCAAAAUUGAAGCCUUCUCCAAUGGAGGUGUCAACUUGUGUUGACGAGUCUUGCGUCCACGAUGCAUGCAGACCGGCUAUAAAUUUUGCGGUGGAAUUGAUGUACGCAUCGUACAUUUUUCAGACGCCAGAGCUGGUUUCACUUUUCCAGCGUCGUCUUCUUAACUUUGUCGAGAAGGCUUUUGUAGAAGAUGUCAUCCCAAUUCUUGUGGUUGGUUUCAAUUGUCAAUUGAGCCAGCUUGUCACUCAGUGUGUUUAUAGAGUAGCAAGAUCAGAUCUUGACAGCAUCUCUCUUGAGAAAGAGCUACCUCAUGAAAUUGCAGAGAAAAUUAGUUUGCUUCGUCUCCACUCUCAGCAUGAUGAUGAACCUAAAAAUGAAGCUGUGGACCCCUUGCAUGAAAAGAGAAUUAGGAGAAUUCACAAAGCAUUAGACUGUGAUGAUGUUGAACUGGUUAAACUUCUCUUGACUGAGUCUGAUAUAACCUUAGACCAAGCCCAUGCUCUCCAUUAUGCUGUAGCCUACUGUGAUCCUAAGGUUGUGACCGAGUUGCUUGGUCUGGGUAGGGCAAAUGUCAACCUUCAAAAUAAACGAGGUUAUACAGUACUCCACAUAGCUGCAAGGCGAAAAGAGCCAUCAAUAAUAGUGUCGCUUCUGACCAAAGGAGCUAGUGCAUUAGAAUCAACACGGGAUGGUCAGAGUGCAGUUAGUAUUUGUCGGAGAUUGACAAGGCCAAAGGAUUAUAAUGCAAAAACAGAGCAGGGGCAGGAAGCAAACAAAGACCGGAUUUGCAUUGAUGUUCUAGAGAGAGAAAUGCGGAGGAAUCCAAUGGCUGGGGAUACAUAUAUUUCUUCCCAAACAGUUGCAGAUGAUCUGCACAUGCAGUUGCUAUACCUGGAAAACCGAGUGGCAUUUGCACGAUUAUUCUUCCCUACCGAAGCUAAGCUAGCGGUAGACGUUGCACAUGCUGAGACAACAUCUGGGCUUGCCGGUCCUUCGACCUCAAAAGGUUCAAGUGGGAAUUUGAGGGAGGUUGAUUUGAAUGAGACUCCAACUAUGCGAACGAAGAGACUGCGAACUCAAAUGGAGGCGCUAAGGAAAACAGUGGAGAUGGGUCGACGCUAUUUUCCUCAUUGCUCAGACGUGCUGGACAAGUUCAUGGAGGAUGACCUCCCCGAUUUGUUUUAUCUUGAAAAGGGCACCCCAGAAGAGCAGAGAAUCAAGAGGAAGCGCUUCAUGGAGCUAAAACAGGAUGUUCAAAAGGCGUUUCAUAAGGACAAGGCCGAGUCCGAGUCGAAUCGCUCUGGAUUGUCUUCUUCCUCACCAUUGUCUUCUCUAAAAGAUGGUGUAAAAUUUAAGGUUAGAGAAGAUGGUGUAAAUCAUAAGGUCAGGAGAUAUUAAGGAAAGUGUUAUUAAGCAGUAGGGGAGUGAAUGAAAUUGUCACGGACAGUUCUUUUUGCCCUCAUUUGUGCUGCAUUUGGUAUCAUGCGAAAGUAGAUCUGUGAACUAUUUAUUAGAAGACAUUCCCAGAUUCUGGCCACUUGAUUGAAGACUGAAGUGAACAAGGUUAAGCUAUAACGCCCAAGGUGAGUUCAUUUCUAGGAUUACAGAAUGAAGAAAGACAAGCAAUUAUUAUUCACAAUAAUUGGAUCUUCUGCAAGGGGGCUUGUGCGAGGGAUAGGAUCUUAAAAUGAUUGGUAAUCAGAACAGGCUAUUGAAAAACAACUCUCUUGUACUUGAUUUCUAUAUAUAUAUAUUUUUAUAAGAAGAAUUUAUUAAUUCUCAUAUUUUACCUGUAUAUAUAAAAUACAUAGAGAAGGAAUGAAGGAUCUCUCCGUUUCAUGUUA
Molecule: RNA transcript, 3009 nt
Organism: Juglans microcarpa x Juglans regia
Lineage: Eukaryota; Viridiplantae; Streptophyta; Magnoliopsida; Fagales; Juglandaceae
Gene name: BTB/POZ domain and ankyrin repeat-containing protein NPR1-like
Exons: 6
Source: RefSeq, a predicted model, not a curated record